RNAcentral lists this long non-coding RNA (408 nucleotides) under Patiria miniata (bat star). RNAcentral's name for it is "uncharacterized LOC119743053". Lineage: Eukaryota; Metazoa; Echinodermata; Asteroidea; Valvatida; Asterinidae. The record is from RNAcentral.
CUGCGACGAAGGCCGAGGUUUCGAAACAGCUUGCAUGUGAGGGACACAUGAGGGCAGCAUUCAACAACAUUACAACAUAAACACGCGACUCUUGAAAAUCUGGCGCUACCCGUAUUCUUCCGAGUGGCUGAAAACUUUCUUAUUACGUCAGUAUCAGUACUACAAGUUUGUUUUAAUUAAAGUGUGUUUUGGGUCCAACGUAAUAACACCAAAAUGGAUGAAAAGCAGGGAGCAACUUCUGAUGAUGUCCUAACUGGGGAGGUAACGUCAACCACAGUUACGGAGGGUGAUGUUGUCAAGAUGCCAACAGAUGUGGCCAUCACUAUGGAUGCUAUUCCCAAUGAAGAUAAGGAGGCAAAUCCAAAGGUCUUGACCCACAAGAAAACCAUUCCACCAGCACCUCUGACG